AUUGAACGCUGGCGGCAUGCUUUACACAUGCAAGUCGAACGGCAGCGCGGGGAAACCUGGCGGCGAGUGGCGAACGGGGGAGUAAGAUAUCGGAACGUACCCAGAAGUGGGGGAUAACGUAGCGAAAGUUACGCUAAUACCGCAUACGAUCUACGGAUGAAAGUAGGGGACCGCAAGGCCUUAUGCUUUUUGAGCGGCCGAUAUCUGAUUAGCUAGUUGGUGAGGUAAAGGCUCACCAAGGCGACGAUCAGUAGCUGGUCUGAGAGGACGAGCAGCCACACUGGAACUGAGACACGGUCCAGACUCCUACGGGAGGCAGCAGUGGGGAAUUUUGGACAAUGGGCGCAAGCCUGAUCCAGCAAUGCCGCGUGAGUGAAGAAGGCCUUCGGGUUGUAAAGCUCUUUUGUCAGGGAAGAAACGGUAGAGGCUAAUAUCCUGUUCUAAUGACGGUACCUGAAGAAUAAGCACCGGCUAACUACGUG
Molecule: ribosomal RNA, 482 nt
Filed under: uncultured bacterium
Lineage: Bacteria
Description: partial 16S ribosomal RNA
Rfam family: Bacterial small subunit ribosomal RNA
Source: RNAcentral